RNAcentral lists this microRNA precursor (136 nucleotides) under Hordeum vulgare. RNAcentral's name for it is "microRNA MIR1122". It matches the Rfam family "MIR1120/MIR1122 microRNA precursor family". Lineage: Eukaryota; Viridiplantae; Streptophyta; Magnoliopsida; Poales; Poaceae. The record is from RNAcentral.
UAUAUACUCCCUCCGUCCCAAAAAUUUUGUCUUACAUUUAUGUAGAUAUGAAUGUAUCUAGUCACAUUUUAGUAUUUAGAUACAUCCAUUUGUAGACAAAUCUAAGACAAGAAUUUUGGGAUGGAGGGAGUAUCAU